UGCCUACGGGGCGCAGCAGUGAGGAAUAUUGGUCAAUGGGCGAGAGCCUGAACCAGCCAAGUCGCGUGAGGGAAGACGGUCCUAUGGAUUGUAAACCUCUUUUGUCGGGGAGCAAAGCGAACCACGUGUGGUUCAUUGAGAGUACCCGAAGAAAAAGCAUCGGCUAACUCCGUGCCAGCAGCCGCGGUAAUACGGAGGAUGCGAGCGUUAUCCGGAUUUAUUGGGUUUAAAGGGUGCGCAGGCGGAGGUGCAAGUCAGCGGUCAAAUUGCGGGGCUCAACCCCGUACUGCCGUUGAACCUGCAUC
This 305-nucleotide ribosomal RNA is filed under the name uncultured bacterium. Its description in RNAcentral is "bacterial SSU rRNA". It matches the Rfam family "Bacterial small subunit ribosomal RNA", at positions 335 to 639 of the family's 1533-position model. The record is from RNAcentral.